UUUCCGGUUGAUCCUGCCGGAGGCCAUUGCUAUCGGAGUCCGAUUUAGCCAUGCUAGUUGCACGGGUUUAGACCCGUGGCGAAAAGCUCAGUAACACGUGGCCAAGCUACCCUGUGGACCGGAAUAACCUCGGGAAACUGAGGAUAAUUCCGGGUAACGCUCCCUCACUGGAAUGUGGGGAGCUGGAAACGUUACGGCGCCACAGGAUGCGGCUGCGGCCGAUUAGGUUGACGGUGGGGUAACGGCCCACCGUGCCCAUAAUCGGUACGGGUUGUGAGAGCAAGAGCCCGGAGACGGAAUCUGAGACAAGAUUCCGGGCCCUACGGGGCGCAGCAGGCGCGAAACCUUUACACUGCACGACAGUGCGAUAGGGGGACUCCGAGUGCGAGGGCAUAGAGCCCUCGCUUUUCUGUACCGUAAGGUGGUACAGGAAGAAGGGCUGGGCAAGACCGGUGCCAGCCGCCGCGGUAAUACCGGCAGCCCAAGUGAUGGCCGAUAUUAUUGGGCCUAAAGCGUCCGUAGCUGGCCGGACAAGUCCGUUGGGAAAUCCGCACGCUUAACGUGCGGGCGUCCAGCGGAAACUGUCCGGCUUGGGACCGGAAGACCCGAGGGGUACGUCCGGGGUAGGAGUGAAAUCCUGUAAUCUCGGACGGACCACCUGUGGCGAAAGCGCCUCGGGAAGACGGAUCCGACAGUGAGGGACGAAAGCCAGGGUCUCGAACCGGAUUAGAUACCCGGGUAGUCCUGGCCGUAAACGAUGUCCGCUAGGUGUGACGCAGGCUACGAGCCUGCGUUGUGCCGUAGGGAA
This 808-nucleotide ribosomal RNA is filed under the name Halodesulfurarchaeum formicicum. RNAcentral's name for it is "bacterial SSU rRNA". It matches the Rfam family "Archaeal small subunit ribosomal RNA", at positions 1 to 810 of the family's 1478-position model. Lineage: Archaea; Methanobacteriati; Methanobacteriota; Halobacteria; Halobacteriales; Halobacteriaceae. The record is from RNAcentral.